Molecule: transfer RNA, 93 nt
Filed under: compost metagenome
Description: tRNA-Ala
Source: RNAcentral
CGCUGCUGGCUUACGGCCUGUGGUUCCGCGGCCUGCGCCUGCUGCCGCCGGUGGCGGUGUCGGCGCUGGGCCUGCUCAGCCCGGUGGCGGCGG